GACGAACGCUGGCGGCGUGCUUAACACAUGCAAGUCGAACGCUGAAGCUUGGUGCUUGCACUGGGUGGAUGAGUGGCGAACGGGUGAGUAAUACGUGAGUAACAUGACCUUGACUCUGGGAUAAGCCUGGGAAACUGGGUCUAAUACUGGAUACGACAUGUCACCGCAUGGUGGUGUGUGGAAAGGGUUUUACUGGUUUUGGAUGGGCUCACGGCCUAUCAGCUUGUUGGUGGGGUAAUGGCUCACCAAGGCGACGACGGGUAGCCGGCCUGAGAGGGUGACCAGCCACACUGGUGCUGAGACGCGGCCCAGACUCCUACUGGAGGAAGCAGUAGGGAAGAAUGCACAAUGGGCGGAAGACUGAUGCAGCGGCGCCGCGUGAGGGAUGACGACCGUCGAGGUGUAGUCCUCUUUCAGCACGGAAGAAGAGAAAGUGACGGUACGUGCAGAAGAAGCGCCGGCUAACUACGUG
RNAcentral lists this ribosomal RNA (472 nucleotides) under uncultured bacterium. RNAcentral's name for it is "partial 16S ribosomal RNA". It matches the Rfam family "Bacterial small subunit ribosomal RNA", at positions 28 to 507 of the family's 1533-position model. The record is from RNAcentral.